This 85-nucleotide transfer RNA is filed under the name Palleronia sediminis. RNAcentral's name for it is "Primorskyibacter sp. SS33 tRNA-Leu". It matches the Rfam family "tRNA". Rfam says of the family: Transfer RNA (tRNA) molecules are approximately 80 nucleotides in length. Their secondary structure includes four short double-helical elements and three loops (D, anti-codon, and T loops). The record is from RNAcentral. Lineage: Bacteria; Pseudomonadati; Pseudomonadota; Alphaproteobacteria; Rhodobacterales; Roseobacteraceae.
GCGGGCGUGGCGGAAUGGUAGACGCAUGGCACUUAAAAUGCCUUGGGCUAGGCCCGUGCGGGUUCGAGUCCCGCCGCCCGCACCA